UUAGAUUACCGGAGGUAAAGCACUGAAUGGGCUAGGGGGCGAUAAGCUUACUGAACCCUAUCAAACUCUGAAUGCCGGCUAAUUGAUGAUCAGCAGUCAGACAGUGUGAGAUAAGUUUCAUUGUCAAAAGGGAAACAGCCCAGACCUACAGCUAAGGUCCCAAAUGUAUGCUAAGUGGAAAACGAUGUGGAGUUGCGAAAACAACCAGGAUGUUGGCUUAGAAGCAGCCAUUCAUUAAAAGAGUUCGUAAUAGAUCACUGGUCGAGUGACUCUGCGCGGAAAAUAUAACGGGGCUAAGUAUGCAACCGAAGCUUAGGAUGUCCGCAAGGGCGUGGUAGGGGAGCGUCGUGUACGGGGUGAAGUCGCAGCGGAAGCAGCGGUGGACUGUACAGGAGUGAGAAUGCCGGAAUGAGUAGCGAGAAUUAUGUGGGAAUCAUAAUGGCCGAAAAUCUAAGGUUUCUUGGGGAAGGUUCGUCCGCCCAAGGUAAGCCGGGAGCUAAGGCGAGGCCGCGAGGCGUAGUCGAUGCACAUACGGUAGAAAUUCCGUAGCCACCGAACUUUAAACCAGAAGGACACUUUCAGAUAGCGGGACCCAGCCGUUGGUAGAGCUGGGCGCAAGGGACCGAAAUAUAGUAGGGAAGUCCGCGAUGCUGGGAGGCGAGAAAAGCUCUGGUGAAUACUAAGGUGCCCGUACCGCAAACCGACACAGGUAGAUGAGGAGAGAAUCCUAAGGCCAACGGGAGAAGGGUUGUUAAGGAACUCGGCAAAUUGACCCCGUAACUUCGGAAGAAGGGGAGCCUCGAAAGAGGCCGCAGUGAAUAGGCCCAAGCAACUGUUUACCAAAAACACAGGUCUAUGCUAAAUCGAAAGAUGACGUAUAUGGGCUGACGCCUGCCCGGUGCCGGAAGGUUAAGAGGAGAUGUCAGGCAACGAAGCAUUGAAUUUAAGCCCCGGUAAACGGCGGCCGUAACUAUAACGGUCCUAAGGUAGCGAAAUUCCUUGUCAGGUAAGUUCUGACCCGCACGAAUGGCGUAAUGAUUUGGGCACUGUCUCAACAGCCCGCCCGGCGAAAUUGUAGUACUGGUGAAGAUGCCAGUUACCCGCAACUAGACGGAAAGACCCCAUGGAGCUUUACUGCAGCUUAAUACUGAAAUUCGGUAGUACAUGUACAGGAUAGGUGGGAGACUGAGAAAUACAGGCGUCAGCUUGUAUGGAGUCGCUGUUGGGAUACCACUCUUGUACUGCUGGGUUUCUAACCUGCGGCCGUGAAUCCGGUCGGGGGACACUGUUAGGCGGGCAGUUUGACUGGGGCGGUCGCCUCCAAAAGAGUAACGGAGGCGCUCAAAGGUUCGUUCAGCACGGACGGAAAUCGUGCAUUGAGUG
Molecule: ribosomal RNA, 1383 nt
Filed under: human gut metagenome
Description: bacterial LSU rRNA
Rfam family: Bacterial large subunit ribosomal RNA
Source: RNAcentral